RNAcentral lists this long non-coding RNA (1602 nucleotides) under Homo sapiens (human). RNAcentral describes it as "HSALNT0100770". The record is from RNAcentral. Lineage: Eukaryota; Metazoa; Chordata; Mammalia; Primates; Hominidae.
CAGCUAUUUCAAACCAUAAAGAUGAGGGCUGUCCCCUAGGGAUGGUAGAACUAAGAGCCAGAAAAGACUAAGUUCUCGAUAAUCAUUUGGAACUGCAAUAGUGGUCCUGGACUACCUAUCUCUAGACUUCUUUUACAUAGGGAGAAAUAUACUUCUCUGUGAAGCCACAACCUUUUAGGAUUUUCUGUCACUUGCAGGUGAAUAUAAAUCUGUUGGAUACAAUAUUGUGUGCAUGGUAGGUGGGCCGUCAGUGGUGAGCCGGGGCUGCCAUUCAGGCUCCACCUACUCAGAAGUCCUCGGGCAGCAUUUAAGGACACGAAUCACCUGACUUCACUGCGGGGAAAUCCUCUCACGGCAUGACUUCCUGUCACAGUAGAAUAGAACCCACGCUCCGACCCAUGACCUACAGCUCUCAGCAUGCUCACUCUAAGAGCUCUGCCAGCUUACAGCCCUCACGUCCUCAUGGUGCCAGCAGCCUCCAAACCUGGUCCUGCGACACAGGAUCUCUGUUGGUUCCUCAUCCUGGGAUGCUUUUCCCAGACCCUCCAUGUCUAGCUCCUUCCUCCCAUUAUCUGACAGCUCUGUGGAAUGCAACCCCACCCACCCAUCAUCACUAUCUCCCAUUCUGCCUUAGUUUCUUCCUUCGUUCUUCCUUUUCUUUUUGACAAGGUCUUGCUCUGUUGCCCAGGCUGGAGUUCAAUAGUGCAAUCAUGGCUCACUGCAGCCUCAACCUCCUUGAUCCUUGAUCCUCCCAUCUCAGCCUCCCAGGUAGCUGGGACCACAGGUGUAAGCCACCAAACCUGGCUAAUUUUUGUUGUUGUUGUUUGCGUUUUUGAGAAAGGGUCUCACUCUGUUGCUCCCUGGGUUCAAGUGAUUCUCCCAUCUGAGCCUCCCGAGUAUCUGGGACUAUAGGCACGUGCCACUACGCCCGGCUAAUUUUUGUUUUUGUUUUUGCUUUUGUUUUUGUUUGAGACUGAGUCUCACUCUGUUGCCCAGGCUGGAGUGUAGUGGUGCAAUCUCCACUCACCGCAACCUCCACCUCCUGGGUUCAAGCGAUUCUCCUGCCUCAGUCUCCCAAGUAGCUGGGAUUACAGGCGCAUGCCACUAUGCCCGGCUAAUUUUUGUAUUUUUAGUAGAGAUGGGGUUUUGCCAUGUUGGCCAGGCUGGUCUUGAACUCCUGACCUCAGGUGAUCCACCCACCUCAGCCUCCCAAAGUGCUAGGAUUACAGGCAUGAGCCACUGCACCCAGCCAGACUUGCUAAUUUUUGUAUUUUUUUUGUAGAGACGGAGUUUCACUAUGUUGCCCAGGCUGGUCUUGAACUUCUGGGCCAAGUGAUCUGCCAAAGUGCUGGGAUUACAUGUGUGAACCACCAUGACUGGCCUGCCUUAGUUUUCUUAGUAGUAUUUAUCCCUGCCUAAAAUUCUCUUCGAUGACUAUUGUCUUACACAUGCAUUUGUUUACUGAUUUCUCUCCUUCCCUAGAACGUACAAGUUCCAUGGAAGCAGAGACUUAGUUGGCUUGUUCACCACUCUAUCUCCAAUGCCUAGAUGGUGGCUGGCACUCAUGAGGAGCUCAAUAAAUAUAUGUUGAAUGAAUGGAUG